RNAcentral lists this ribosomal RNA (376 nucleotides) under uncultured bacterium. RNAcentral's name for it is "bacterial SSU rRNA". It matches the Rfam family "Bacterial small subunit ribosomal RNA", at positions 524 to 898 of the family's 1533-position model. The record is from RNAcentral.
UACGGAGGGUGCAAGCGUUGUUCGGAAUUACUGGGCGUAAAGCGCGCGUAGGCGGUUUGUUAAGUCAGAUGUGAAAGCCCAGGGCUUAACCCUGGACGUGCAUUUGAAACUGUCAGACUUGAGUAUUGGAGGGGGUGGUGGAAUUCCCGGUGUAGAGGUGAAAUUCGUAGAUAUCGGGAGGAAUACCGGUGGCGAAGGCGACCACCUGGCCAAAUACUGACGCUGAGGUGCGAAGGCGUGGGGAGCAAACAGGAUUAGAUACCCUGGUAGUCCACGCGGUAAACGAUGAGAACUAGGUGUUGGGACGGUUGAUCGUCUCAUUGCCGCAGCUAACGCAUUAAGUUCUCCGCCUGGGGAGUACGGUCGCAAGAUUAAA